Molecule: unclassified non-coding RNA, 1783 nt
Filed under: Hevea brasiliensis (rubber tree)
Lineage: Eukaryota; Viridiplantae; Streptophyta; Magnoliopsida; Malpighiales; Euphorbiaceae
Source: RNAcentral
GGACUAUUCAUAUAUGGGAAGUUCAAGAAUGUGAAAUCAUGUCCUUGAGUGAAGGGAAUCUGACCCCUCUUCAUCCCUUUUCAACACCGGGUCUAGGAGAGGUCACACCAAUGCCUUCAGAAAGGAAGAAGAAGAAAAAGGGUUCAUCAAGUAAGAAAAGCAGUCCCAUUCCAGAAUAUGUCCAUGUGUCGGAAACUGUGUUUUCGCUGUCUGAGAAACCGAUCUGCUCUUUCUCCGGUCAUCUUGAUGAUGUCUUGGACCUGUCCUGGUCCAGAUCUCAGCUAUUGCUUUCAUCAUCAAUGGACAAAACUGUUCGGUUGUGGGACAUGGAAACCAAGAGCUGUCUAAAGUUGUUCGCUCAUAAUGAUUAUGUAACUUGCAUACACUUCAAUCCAAUGGAUGACAACUAUUUCAUAAGUGGUUCGCUGGAUAACAAAGUUCGUAUCUGGAACAUACCUGAUCGUCAGCUUGUGGAUUGGACUGAUCUUCACGAAAUGGUCACUGCUGUCUGCUACACCCCUGAUGGCCAGGGUGCAUUCAUUGGUUCACAUAAAGGGAGUUGCCGCAUGUACAAUGUUGAGGAUUGCAAACUGAGUCAAGCUGAGCAGAUUGACUUGCAAAACAAGAAGAAUCCAAAAAAGAUAACUGGUUUCCAGUUUUCCCCAGGCAAUCCAUCUGAAGUUCUUGUUGCUUCUGCUGAUUCUCGAAUUCGAAUUUUAGAUGGUUCAGAACUGGUUCAUAAAUUCAGAGGUUUUAGAAAUCUCAAUAGCCAAAUUGCUGCUUCAUUCAGUAAAGAUGGAAAAUAUGUAAUAUGCGCGAGUGAAGAUUCUAAUGUAUAUGUUUGGAAGCGAGACGAGCGAUCAGGGACUGGAAAAGGAAAAAAUAUGAUCGAUACACGAUCUCAUGAAAGCUUUCAGUGCAGAGAUGUAUCAAUCGCAAUCCCAUGGCCUGGUACUGUGAAGGGUGAUCCUCCACCUGUGCCAGUUAAUUCCAAAAGGCACUCCAAGCGUUCCUCCAACUCACAAACACAUUCAACCUGUGGUUCGCCAACCAAAGAUGAUGCAUCUGUGAGUAGUAAGAAAAAUCCAACUUCUGCAACUGAUUCGCCCAUGACAGAAGAUAAUUCUGCAGCUACAAACAGUAAGAAACAGUUGCCACCUCUUCCAAAGAAAAACAACAGCAACAACAGCAACAACAAUAAUGUAGAUAAAGCUCCAUCCCUGGAAGAGGACUCGUCUGCGAUUUCACAGUCUGAUUCUGGUCUCGGAGAUUCAUUCAGUUCUGUUUCUUCCUCCAUAAAGUAUGGUGAUUCACCUUCUAUUUCAGCUGCUCCUUCUCCGUCUUCUUCUUGGCCUUCCUCUUGGUCAUGGUUUGAUGGAAGUGGGAGUGGCAACCAAUCAGUACAAGCAACAGCAUGGGGCAUGGUGAUUGUUACAGCAACAUUGGGAGGUGAAAUUAGAGCUUAUCAAAAUUUUGGAUUGCCUCGUAGGAUUGGUCGCCAAUCCAACCUGUUUUGAGCCAUUGCAUGCAUAUGGAUUUUUUGUAUUAGAGAAAAUAGAAGCUUAACAUGGUUUUUGGUAAUAGUGCUUUAUUUUUUGAAGCAUAUCAUGAUUUCUGUGCUGCAAAAUAGUACUAGGAGAAAAAUGCUGCAAAAUAUUACUGGGAGAAAAAUGAGCUUUGAUGUUAUCUACUCUAUCAACAAGAGCAGCACUUCGCAUUGUACGUGAUAAAUGGAAAUUUUUGUUUAGAUUGCUAGUGAAUUUAAGAUAUAAUAUAUAUAUGG